UGGGGAUGACGUCAAGUCAUCAUCGGCCCUUACGGCCUGGGCUACACACGUGCUACAAUGGUCGGUACAAAGGGUUGCCAAGCCGCGAGGUGGAGCUAAUCCCAUAAAACCGAUCGUAGUCCGGAUCGCAGUCUGCAACUCGACUGCGUGAAGUCGGAAUCGCUAGUAAUCGUGAAAUCAGAAUGUCACGGUGAAUACGUUCCCGGGCCUU
RNAcentral lists this ribosomal RNA (211 nucleotides) under uncultured Pseudomonas sp. RNAcentral describes it as "partial 16S ribosomal RNA". It matches the Rfam family "Bacterial small subunit ribosomal RNA", at positions 1174 to 1382 of the family's 1533-position model. The record is from RNAcentral. Lineage: Bacteria; Pseudomonadati; Pseudomonadota; Gammaproteobacteria; Pseudomonadales; Pseudomonadaceae.